UUCAAGGACGUAUUUAAUUUGAAUUUUGGUAGGUCUAGGGUUCUUGGAGGAAACUUGCUUAUUUAAUAGUGUUGUUUUCUAAAAUGCAUAAAGAAAGUAUAGAUUAUGUACAUCAAAAUUCUCCGAAUAAUUAUGAAGAUGUAACUAAGGAUUCUGAAGUUUCCAUAGAUAUGAUGUAUGCAAAUAUCUCACAAAUGCGAAAUGAAUAUAUGAAAAAUGAACAAGCACGAUAGAUAACCGAAAUAUAUAAAGGAGUUCCACUAGAUCACUCGUGGAAGGAAUGACUGAAUAUAUUAUGAAUGUACAAGAAUUACUUUUGGCGUUAUCCACUAUUUUAGGAGCACUGCGCAAAUAAAAGCUUAAUUUGUGUUACAUUAUUCUGUUUGUUUUUAUUUUUCUCUUUGAAUACUAAGUUAUUUUUUUAUUAUGAUUACAUGUAUCUCUUUUCCCUUUAUAUAUACAGAGAGAUAGAUUAGCAUUUUCAGAAAGUUGUAUCUAUUAUUUUGGUACAAGUAACCUUAUUUAAUAAAUAAUUAGAAAAAGGUGGAUUGAAUAAAACUGAAGCAUAUAUGUUUUAGAAUUUUGAAUGUUUAAGUAUCUUUUAUUAUUUUCUUUCAAAAUUACAAUAAUAG
Long non-coding RNA from Lycium ferocissimum, 632 nucleotides. RefSeq lists it as uncharacterized. Lineage: Eukaryota; Viridiplantae; Streptophyta; Magnoliopsida; Solanales; Solanaceae. The record is from RefSeq and is a predicted model, not a curated record. The transcript is spliced from 3 exons.